Dioscorea cayenensis subsp. rotundata (Guinea yam) is the source of this 1785-nucleotide long non-coding RNA. RefSeq lists it as uncharacterized. NCBI's taxonomy places the organism in Eukaryota, Viridiplantae, Streptophyta, Magnoliopsida, Dioscoreales, Dioscoreaceae. The record is from RefSeq and is a predicted model, not a curated record. The transcript has 3 exons.
UUUUCUUCAUCUUCUUCAUCUGCUUCAGUAACCCGAGAGAAGAUGAAGCUCUCUUCUUCUUCUUCUUCAUCAAGGGCUUCAAACUAAUGAAAGAAGAAGAAGAAGAAGAAGAAGAAGAAGGAACUUGGAGGUUUGAGAGAAGAAGGAACUUGGUGCUUGAUUGGCUUGAGAGGGAGUUCCAGGUCUAGCUAGAAACCCAAGGGAGACAAGUAUGGCAGAGCAAUCAUACUAGUAUAUCUGGUUUUGACAAUUAAAUUAUGCGUAAUUCUUCAAAGAGAAUGCCUAUGAUUAUUCUACAUUGCUUGAGUAAAGUUUUAUUGGUUAUUACACUGGCAUUGAGACUUUAUUUGAUUUGAAAUGAGUUAUUUGUGUUUAUUUCAUACUUGAAAGCAUUAUUGUUCAAAGGCGAGUAUUUUCAGAUUGUUAUGUGAUUCGCAAAUUGUGCAUUGAUUUAUAUUAAAAGCUUUGGAUACCCUUGUGUUUAUCAUUUUUGUAGGGAAAUGGCAAAUAUUUUGAAUAUUGAUUUUUGUCCUGGUUAUGGACUCCUCGUUGUGAGAUGUAUGAUUGUUGAGUUUGUAUGGUGACCCUACUACAGUAGGCGGUCUCCAUAGCUAGCCUGUUGAGGUGCCGUGGUAGACCAGCUGAUUACUAUGAGGGCCAGCUCAGGUGGGAGUGUCGAUCCCUGACUGGAUAUUCAUCGGGUAGCCGGGGUCACCGACCGGUGAACCGAUGGGUCAACGUCAAGGACAUGAGUUCUUUGACGGCUCUGAACCUAGCCGCGGCCACGGCGAAAGUUUAGAAAGUUUUCUAGACCAUAUUAUGCUGGGUGAGUGUUGAGUAUUGUUUUAUACUGAAUUUGCGAUUUAUGUUAUUUUGGAUUGUGAUGAGGGGGUGAAGCCAGCUGUCGCUCUUAGGAUGGUUACGAUGGAUCCAUUUUCUCUCUACUGUUGGUGUCGUGAUUGUGUAGCGGUUGUACAAGCAUGUUGCAGUAAUUGUGCUCAUUGUAUCCAUAUAUUUGAACCUGUAGCUGUGUAGAGUUGUUAAUCAUAUUUCUAUAAGUCUCAUUUGUUGUUUCCAGGGUGUCGGUUUUCCAAUUAAAAUGGAUUUCUUAACUGAUGGGUGCCACAUUUACCUCGGGAAAGGGGGUAGGUGUGACAACUGUGAUCAAGGCCAUUGCUUACACCAGAGAAUUCACCAACAACCUCAUUGAUCCCAUUGGCAAAAGAUUCAUUCAAUUUAAUUAUUCAUGUGCUGAUGGUCCUUUCCUUCUCACUCAUGUUGCACCCAAUCAUGCCCUUCAAGUGAGAUCCAUCGGUUUUUUCAUGACCAAUGCUAACAACUAUGUUUCCCUCGCAUGAUGCUUUUCGCAGCCUAUGAGUGAUAAUUCUUCUGACGAGAUUUUUGCCAUUGAAGUUGCUUUGUAGACAGCUCUUGAACAUUGCAUCAAAAUCAAACGUAUCCUUUGCUCUCAUCAUGGCGCUCUAGACAUUCUUCAACGACCCGGUCCCAUGCUUUCUUGGCGAUUUCAUCACCAAAUCAACAAUCUAAAUUUUCUCCUGGACAUGUGUCAAAGAUCAAGCAUCGAAAUCAUUCCUCUUCCCUAGAUCAGACCUGCUGUCAAUCUAGCCACUCUGGGAUUUCUCCAUCGACAUCUCAACUUAUUCCUUUACUGCCGAUACCUUCCCUGAUGGAUUAUGCAAUCAUUCACUAGUUAUGGAUACUUUUUCUUUUGAUUGUUUUAUUUCUGUUCUUCUUCCUUCCUAGCUUUGUUUCAGAUCUUUUGUU